AGCUCCAAAAGUGUAUAUUUAAGUUGUUGCGGUUGAAAAGCUCGUAGUUGGAUUUUGGGACGGCGCGUCUGGUCGGCCGCAAGGCUUGUACUGCACGCGCUGUCCUCACAUGACCGGUGCCUCUAAGGUGCUCUUAACUGAGUGCUUUUGUGGUCCGGGAAGUUUACCUUGAAAAAAUUAGAGUGUUCAAAGCAGGCUUAAAGCUUGAAUAAUGUUGCAUGGAAUAAUGGAAUAGGACCUCGGUUCUAUUUUGUUGGUUUUCGGAGCGCGAGGUAAUGAUUAAGAGGAACGGACGGGGGCAUCCGUACUGUGCCGUUAGAGGUGAAAUUCUUGGAUCGGCGCAAGACGAACAACUGCGAAAGCAUUUGCCAAGAAUGUUUUCU
This 383-nucleotide ribosomal RNA is filed under the name uncultured eukaryote. RNAcentral describes it as "SSU rRNA". It matches the Rfam family "Eukaryotic small subunit ribosomal RNA", at positions 587 to 972 of the family's 1831-position model. The record is from RNAcentral.